CUUGGUUGUGCAAAAGUGCUUACAGUGCAGGUAGCUUUUAGUACCUACUGCAAUGUAAGCACUUCUAGCAUUACCAU
Non-coding RNA from Ornithorhynchus anatinus (platypus), 77 nucleotides. The record is from Rfam. NCBI's taxonomy places the organism in Eukaryota, Metazoa, Chordata, Mammalia, Monotremata, Ornithorhynchidae.